GUGAGUCAUCGAAUCUUUGAACGCACAUUGCGCCCGCCGGUAUUCCGGCGGGCAUGCCUGUUCGAGCGUCAUUAUAACCAAUCAAGCUCUGCUUGGCCUUGGGGCCCGUUAUACCGGCGGCCCUUAAAAUCAGUGGCGGUGCCGUCUGGCUCUAAGCGUAGUAAUAUUUCUCGCUAUAGGGUUCAGCCGUCCACCCGCCAGAACCCCCAACUUUCUUAGGUUGACCUCGGAUCAGGUAGGGAUACCCGCUGAACUUAAGCAUAUCAAUAAGCGGAGGA
Molecule: unclassified non-coding RNA, 278 nt
Filed under: Hyaloscypha sp.
Lineage: Eukaryota; Fungi; Ascomycota; Leotiomycetes; Helotiales; Hyaloscyphaceae
Description: partial contains 5.8S ribosomal RNA, internal transcribed spacer 2, and large subunit ribosomal RNA
Rfam family: 5.8S ribosomal RNA (bases 1-71)
Source: RNAcentral